UACAGAGGUCUCAAGCGUUGUCCGGAUUUACUGGGCGUAAAGGGCGUGCAGGCGGUUUGUUAAGUGCAGGGUGAAAGCUCCCGGCUCAACUGGGAGAGGUCCUUGCAUACUGGCAAACUCGAGGGAGGCAGAGGAAAGUGGAAUUCCCGGUGUAGUGGUGAUAUGCGUAGAUAUCGGGAGGAACACCUGUGGCGAAGGCGGCUUCUGGGCCUUACCUGACGCUG
This 224-nucleotide ribosomal RNA is filed under the name uncultured bacterium. RNAcentral's name for it is "partial 16S ribosomal RNA". It matches the Rfam family "Bacterial small subunit ribosomal RNA", at positions 524 to 748 of the family's 1533-position model. The record is from RNAcentral.